Molecule: long non-coding RNA, 778 nt
Organism: Dromiciops gliroides (monito del monte)
Lineage: Eukaryota; Metazoa; Chordata; Mammalia; Microbiotheria; Microbiotheriidae
Exons: 2
Source: RefSeq, a predicted model, not a curated record
GCCUUCAGCAAUUCCUGCUGAGAAUGUGGCUUGAUCAAGAGAUUCAGCUGCCUCCAGCAAUCUGGACAGAGGAAUCCAUCUCUACUACUGCUCUGAUGAGAAAACCUUUGUUGAAUCAGUCUGUUAUGGGCAUUGAACUAAGUGCAAACAAACUUGAAUAAUCAAAGCUUGAAGGAAAAGAAGGUUUCAAACCAUUGGAUAAAUGACAUUAUGCUGCACAGGAAGUGUACCAAAGAUUGGCCAAAGAGAGUCCUGUCCAGUAAGCUUUGGAUCAAAGUGCAAGCCAAUUCAAAACUUAGAAUUUGAGUGCCUGACCAGAUUCAUAGAAGCAGCCAUUCCAGCAAGAACUUGACAGGGAAUUGCUUGGAGUCAAGAGGGUAGAAAAGAAGAGCAUCUGCCUCCUCCUCUCCUUGAACAAAAGAAGACAUUAGACACUUCAAAUGUCCCAUAAUUCUCACAGGUAUCCUAGCAAUGUCCCUAGAGCAGGAGCUACAGACAGCAGUGUAUGCAUUGAGAACCACGGACAAAUUAAGACAGAAAAGGCGGCUUCCGUACUCUACAAAGAGACUAACAGAAAGUUACGCUGUGACUUAAGGAGGAUUCAUGAGGACUGCACAAAGGAAAAUAAAGGACUUCCAAUAAUCAAGAGCUGUGAGUUUAGACCCUUGACACAUAAGUUCUAUAAGUUUGAUCCCACUUUCCAAAGGGAUACCUUUAAAAGUAUAUGCAGUUAGGAGUGUCACAGACUUUGGGGUGAAGUAAAUACCUUUAACUAGAA